RNAcentral lists this ribosomal RNA (659 nucleotides) under Methylococcus sp. RNAcentral's name for it is "bacterial SSU rRNA". It matches the Rfam family "Bacterial small subunit ribosomal RNA", at positions 64 to 721 of the family's 1533-position model. Lineage: Bacteria; Pseudomonadati; Pseudomonadota; Gammaproteobacteria; Methylococcales; Methylococcaceae. The record is from RNAcentral.
GGACUGUAGAGCUUGCUUCUUUGCUGACGAGUGGCGGACGGGUGAGUAAUGCGUAGGAAUCUGCCUUGUUGUGGGGGAUAACUACUGGAAACGGUAGCUAAUACCGCAUACGCUCAGCGGAUGAAAGCGGGGGACCUUCGGACCUCGCGCCAUAAGAUGAGCCUACGUCGGAUUAGCUAGUUGGUGGGGUAAAGGCCUACCAAGGCGACGAUCCGUAGCUGGUCUGAGAGGACGAUCAGCCACACUGGGACUGAGACACGGUCCAGACUCCUACGGGAGGCAGCAGUGGGGAAUAUUGGACAAUGGGCGCAAGCCUGAUCCAGCAAUGCCGCGUGUGUGAAGAAGGCCUGAGGGUUGUAAAGCACUUUCAGCGGGAAGAAGGGCGGGGGUUUAAUACCUAUGCUCAUUGACGUUACCUGCAGAAGAAGCACCGGCUAACUCCGUGCCAGCAGCCGCGGUAAUACGGAGGGUGCAAGCGUUAAUCGGAAUUACUGGGCGUAAAGCGCACGCAGGCGGUUUGUUAAGUCAGAUGUGAAAUCCCCGGGCUUAACCUGGGAACUGCAUCUGAUACUGUCAGGCUCGAGUGUGGUAGAGGGUAGUGGAAUUUCCGGUGUAGCGGUGAAAUGCGUAGAGAUCGAAAAAACCGAGAGGGGUGGGGA